AUGAGGAAGCAGUCCAAGAUGCUGUUGACCAUGUGCACGAAAUGUGCUCUAACCAUAGCAAGUGUCCUGCUCUACCCCAAGACUUUAGGUGGGUGUGUUGUUUUCAGUGGUUCAGUUCCUCUGAGCAAAUCAUUUGCAGGCAGGGUGACACCUGAAACCAGAAAGACGCCGGUAUUAUGGUUCCAUGCGAAGGUAGACGGGGUGGCACUAUUUGAAGCCGGGCACACUGGAUGUGCAUUUCUCCAAGAGCUUGGCAUGGCCUGCGAAUUCAAGGUGAUUUCGUCUGUUGGUGAAGUAAAGCACCCAACACAACACAACUACCACUAUACCUACCGGCUGAUAACUUCAUGCCUACGAACGAAGGAGCAGCACUCUCUCUCACAUGAGAAACUUGGAGCCUGCUUGGUUUGGUGCCAAAUUUUGGCAUCCCUAAAAAAUGAAGUUGAUUGGUUGGGCUCCAACUUUUGUACAGCUUUACCAAAGAAACAUGAGCCAGGUCAUAACAUGCAACCUCUAGGCAUGAGCUCCACCAGCAGUCACAAAUGGACGCCUCCUGGCCGUCGGUCGCACCCGCGGCAACAGCAACAACAACGAGCACAAAUCAUCCCCUCAUUGGUUAGUUCUUUGGUGACUCCGCGCUAUCCGUAUGGGGCCUCCGCCUGCUCCUACUCCUGCAGCGGCGACGCGGCAAGGGCCGGCGCGCUGGUGCUGUGGCUGCACAGCUCCAGCGAGACGGACGAGCAGAGACACUCCCAGGUCGCCCCCUACUUCUCUGACGCCACCGUCACUUGCGGUUUCUUAUUGGAGGGAGAAUGA
RNAcentral lists this ribosomal RNA (816 nucleotides) under Triticum aestivum (bread wheat). Its description in RNAcentral is "partial small subunit ribosomal RNA". Lineage: Eukaryota; Viridiplantae; Streptophyta; Magnoliopsida; Poales; Poaceae. The record is from RNAcentral.